Molecule: ribosomal RNA, 280 nt
Filed under: uncultured bacterium
Lineage: Bacteria
Description: partial 16S ribosomal RNA
Rfam family: Bacterial small subunit ribosomal RNA
Source: RNAcentral
AGCGAACGCUGGCGGCAUGCUUAACACAUGCAAGUCGCACGAACCUUUCGGGGUUAGUGGCGGACGGGUGAGUAACGCGUAGGGAUCUGUCCAUGGGUGGGGGAUAACUUUGGGAAACUGAAGCUAAUACCGCAUGACACCUGAGGGUCAAAGGCGCAAGUCGCCUGUGGAGGAACCUGCGUUCGAUUAGCUAGUUGGUGGGGUAAAGGCCUACCAAGGCGAUGAUCGAUAGCUGGUCUGAGAGGAUGAUCAGCCACACUGGGACUGAGACACGGCCCAG